This is a regulatory RNA element of 102 nucleotides. It matches the Rfam family "SAM riboswitch aptamer (S box leader)". From Rfam's summary of the family: The SAM riboswitch is found upstream of a number of genes which code for proteins involved in methionine or cysteine biosynthesis in Gram-positive bacteria. The SAM riboswitch acts at the level of transcription termination control. The record is from Rfam.
UUCUUAUCAAGAGAGGUGGAGGGACUGGCCCUUUGAAGCCUCGGCAGCAGACUUUUUAUAGUACUGUGCCAAUUCCAGUAGCAUGAUGCUAGAAGAUAAGAG